Molecule: small nuclear RNA, 163 nt
Filed under: Capitella teleta
Lineage: Eukaryota; Metazoa; Annelida; Polychaeta; Capitellidae
Description: U1 spliceosomal RNA
Rfam family: U1 spliceosomal RNA
About the family: U1 is a small nuclear RNA (snRNA) component of the spliceosome (involved in pre-mRNA splicing). Its 5' end forms complementary base pairs with the 5' splice junction, thus defining the 5' donor site of an intron.
Source: Rfam by way of RNAcentral
AUACUUACCUGGCGCAGGGGACACCAUGAUCCUCAAGGUGGUUCCCUCAUUGCGAGGCCUUCUCAUUGCACUACGAGGGGCUGACCAGUGCGAUCACCCCAAAUGUGGGUGACUCGGGCGCGUAAUUUUUGUUAGUGGUGGACUGCGUUCGCGCUAUCCACUG